Molecule: ribosomal RNA, 497 nt
Filed under: uncultured bacterium
Lineage: Bacteria
Description: partial 16S ribosomal RNA
Rfam family: Bacterial small subunit ribosomal RNA
Source: RNAcentral
GAUGAACGCUGGCGGCGUGCCUAAUACAUGCAAGUCGAGCGAACAGACGAGGAGCUUGCUCCUCUGACGUUAGCGGCGGACGGGUGAGUAACACGUGGAUAACCUACCUAUAAGACUGGGAUAACUUCGGGAAACCGGAGCUAAUACCGGAUAAUAUAUUGAACCGCAUGGUUCAAUAGUGAAAGACGGUUUUGCUGUCACUUAUAGCUGGAUCCGCGCCGCAUUAGCUAGUUGGUAAGGUAACGGCUUACCAAGGCAAGGAUGCGUAGCCGACCUGAGAGGGUGAUCGGACACACUGGAACUGAGACACGGUCCAGACUCCUACGGGGGGCAGCAGUAGGGAAUCUUCCGCAAUGGGGGAAAGCCUGACGGAGCAACGCCGCGUGAGUGAUGAAGGUCUUCGGAUCGUAAAACUCUGUUAUUAGGGAAGAACAAAUGUGUAAGUAACUAUGCACGUCUUGACGGUACCUAAUCAGAAAGCCACGGCUAACUACGUG